GAUGAACGCUAGCUACAGGCUUAACACAUGCAAGUCGCGGGGCAGCAUGGGGGUUGCUUGCAAUCCCCGAUGGCGACCGGCGCACGGGUGAGUAACGCGUAUCCAACCUGCCCUUCACCACGGGAUAACCCGGCGAAAGUCGGACUAAUACCGUAUGUUGUCCAUUGACGGCAUCCGAUUUGGACGAAAGGUUUGGCGGUGAAGGAUGGGGAUGCGUCCGAUUAGCUGGACGGCGGGGUGACGGCCCACCGUGGCGACGAUCGGUAGGGGUUCUGAGAGGAAGGUCCCCCACACUGGAACUGAGACACGGUCCAGACUCCUACGGGAGGCAGCAGUGAGGAAUAUUGAUCAAUGGGCGUAAGCCUGAACCAGCCAAGUAGCGUGCAGGAUGACGGCCCUAGGGGUUGUAAACUGCUUUUAUGCGGGGAUAAAGUGGCCCACGUGUGGGUUUUUGCAGGUACCGCAUGAAUAAGGACCGGCUAAUUCCGUG
Molecule: ribosomal RNA, 490 nt
Filed under: uncultured bacterium
Lineage: Bacteria
Description: partial 16S ribosomal RNA
Rfam family: Bacterial small subunit ribosomal RNA
Source: RNAcentral